CCAGCGACGCCGCGUGAGGGAUGACGGCCUUCGGGUUGUAACCUCUUUCAGUAGGGAAGAAGCGAAAGUGACGGUACCUGCAGAAGAAGCACCGGCUAACUACGUGCCAGCAGCCGCGGUAAUACGUAGGGUGCGAGCGUUAUCCGGAAUUAUUGGGCGUAAAGAGCUCGUAGGCGGUUUGUCGCGUCUGUCGUGAAAGUCCGGGGCUUAACCCCGGAUCUGCGGUGGGUACGGGCAGACUAGAGUGCAGUAGGGGAGACUGGAAUUCCUGGUGUAGCGGUGGAAUGCGCAGAUAUCAGGAGGAACACCGAUGGCGAAGGCAGGUCUCUGGGCUGUAACUGACGCUGAGGAGCGAAAGCAUGGGGAGCGAACAGGAUUAGAUACCCCGGUAGAG
Molecule: ribosomal RNA, 394 nt
Filed under: Micrococcus sp.
Lineage: Bacteria; Bacillati; Actinomycetota; Actinomycetes; Micrococcales; Micrococcaceae
Description: bacterial SSU rRNA
Rfam family: Bacterial small subunit ribosomal RNA
Source: RNAcentral